This 497-nucleotide ribosomal RNA is filed under the name uncultured bacterium. RNAcentral's name for it is "partial 16S ribosomal RNA". It matches the Rfam family "Bacterial small subunit ribosomal RNA", at positions 28 to 507 of the family's 1533-position model. The record is from RNAcentral.
GAUGAACGCUGGCGGCGUGCCUAAUACAUGCAAGUCGAGCGAACAGACGAGGAGCUUGCUCCUCUGACGUUAGCGGCGGACGGGUGAGUAACACGUGGAUAACCUACCUAUAAGACUGGGAUAACUUCGGGAAACCGGAGCUAAUACCGGAUAAUAUAUUGAACCGCAUGGUUCAAUAGUGAAAGACGGUUUUGCUGUCACUUAUAGAUGGAUCCGCGCCGCAUUAGCUAGUUGGUAAGGUAACGGCUUACCAAGGCAACGAUGCGUAGCCGACCUGAGAGGGUGAUCGGCCACACUGGAACUGAGACACGGUCCAGACUCCUACGGGAGGCAGCAGUAGGGAAUCUUCCGCAAAGGGCGAAAGCUUGACGGAGCAGCGCCGCGUGAGUGAUGAAGGUCUUCGGAUCGUAAAACUCUGUUAUUAGGGAAGAACAAAUGUGUAAGUAACUAUGCACGUCUUGACGGUACCUAAUCAGAAAGCCACGGCUAACUACGUG